AUGGCUCCAAAUGGUUUGUUUUGCAAUAAACACAAACAUUUAGAAAGACAUUUUUUCUCUCUCUUCCCGCAGGAAUACUCUAGAAAAAGAAGAGGAGGCAGAAGAAUAACUAUAAAGGAGGAAGCAUUAUACAUUUUCUUAAGCACCUAUAAUGUGCCAGAUGUUCUUCGAGAUGCUGGGGCUACAGUGGUUCACUGGACAGCAGAAGAAGUGGAGCUCUUUAUUCUGCUUGUUUCCACUGACGCCCCAUGGUCCCCCUGACCCUGGGCAACUGGAAGUCUGAAGGAUUGGUGAGCCUGAGAAAGAAAAUGGGACCAUCCGUGCAGGUUGAUAUGUUCAGUGAGUCACUAUAGCCAUGAGGUAUUCCAUACUAAUCUAUAUCCCUACCAGUCUAACCUUACCUCAUCACCACAAAAACAUUCUCCACUUCCUUCUCUGGGUGUAGGUUUGUUACUUACUUCCUCUCUUGGAGGAUGAAAUCCAGAAGGUUUCAUAAUUCUAGGUUUAUUUCUCCAUGUCCCUGCUUCUUGCUUCUGUUUUUUGGUCUCUUGAUAUUCUGUACAUGAAGUGCUGCCCUAAAUGGAAUGUUAUAGGUUAAAUAAUGCUCCCUCCCUCCCCAGGAAAGUCCUAAAUCCAGUUCUUCAGAAUGUGACCUUUUGCAGGAAAGGGUCACUACAGAUGAAAUGAGUUAAGAGGAGGUCAUACCAUUAGGGUGGCCCCUCAUCCAAGAUCACUGGUGUCCAUAUUAAAAAGGGAAAUUUGGGAGUUCCUGUUGUGGCUCAGUGGUUAACGAAUCCGACUAGGAACCAUGAAGUUGCAGGUUCGAUCCCUGGCCUUGCUCAGUGGGUUAAGGAUCUGGUGUUGCUGUGAGCUGUGGUGUAGGUCACAGAUGUGGCUCGGAUCCUGAGUUCCUGUGGCUCUGGUGUAGGCCGGUGGCCACAGCUCCGAUUAGACCCCUAGCCUGUGAAUCUCCAUAUGCCUCGGGAAGCAGCGCUAGAAAAGGCAAAAGACAAUACAAUACAAUAAAAUAAAAAUAAUAACAAAAAAAUAAUAAAAG
RNAcentral lists this long non-coding RNA (1057 nucleotides) under Sus scrofa (pig). RNAcentral describes it as "lncRNA (ENSSSCG00070002493.1)". The record is from RNAcentral. Lineage: Eukaryota; Metazoa; Chordata; Mammalia; Artiodactyla; Suidae.